Molecule: ribosomal RNA, 460 nt
Filed under: uncultured bacterium
Lineage: Bacteria
Description: partial 16S ribosomal RNA
Rfam family: Bacterial small subunit ribosomal RNA
Source: RNAcentral
CCUACGGGAGGCUGCAGUGAGGAAUAUUGGUCAAUGGGCGCGAGCCUGAACCAGCGAAGUAGCGUGAAGGAUGACUGCCCUACGGGUUGUAAACUUCUUUUAUAAAGGAGUAAAGUGAGUCACGUGUGCCUUUUUGUAUGUACUUUAUGAAUAAGGAACGGCUAACUCCGCGCCAGCAGCCGAGGUAAUACGGAGGAUCCGAGCGUUAUCCGGAUUUAUUGGGUUUAAAGGGAGCGUAGAUGGGUUGUUAAGUCAGUGGUGAAAGUUCGCGGCUCAACCGUGAAAUUGCAAUUGAUACUGGCAGCCGUGAGUGCAGUUGAGGUAAGUGGAAUUCGUGGUGUAGCGGUGAAAUGCUUAGAUAUCACGAAGAACUCCGAUUGCGAAGGCAGCCUACUGGACUGCCACUGACAUUGAUGCUCGAAAGUGUGGGUAUCAAACAGGAUUAGAUACCCCUGUAGUC